RNAcentral lists this ribosomal RNA (283 nucleotides) under uncultured Gammaproteobacteria bacterium. RNAcentral describes it as "partial 16S ribosomal RNA". It matches the Rfam family "Bacterial small subunit ribosomal RNA", at positions 226 to 501 of the family's 1533-position model. The record is from RNAcentral. Lineage: Bacteria; Pseudomonadati; Pseudomonadota; Gammaproteobacteria.
UGAGCCUGCGUAAGAUUAGCUUGUUGGUGAGGUAAAGGCUCACCAAGGCAACGAUCUUUAGCUGGUCUGAGAGGACGAUCAGCCACAUUGGGACUGAGACACGGCCCAGACUCCUACGGGAGGCAGCAGUGGGGAAUAUUGGACAAUGGGCGCAAGCCUGAUCCAGCCAUACCGCGUGUGUGAAGAAGGCCUUCGGGUUGUAAAGCACUUUAAGUAAGGAAGAAAAGAGUAUUGUUAAUACCAAUACUCCGUGACAUUACUUACAGAAUAAGGACCGGCUAAU